AGUGAACGCUGGCGGUAGGCCUAACACAUGCGAGUCGAACGGCAGCACAGUAAGAGCUUGCUCUUACGGGUGGCGAGUGGCGGACGGGUGAGGAAUACAUCGGAAUCUACUUUUUCGUGGGGGAUAACGUAGGGAAACUUACGCUAAUACCGCAUACGACCUACGGGUGAAAGCAGGGGAUCUUCGGACCUUGCGCGAUUGAAUGAGCCGAUGUCGGAUUAGCUAGUUGGCGGGGUAAAGGCCCACCAAGGCGACGGUCCGUAGCUGGUCUGAGAGGAUGAUCAGCCACACUGGAACUGAGACACGGUCCAGACUCCUACGGGAGGCAGCGGUGGGGAAUAUAGGACAAUGGGCGCAAGCCUGAUCCAGCCAUACCGCGUGGGUGAAGAAGGCCUUCGGGUUGGAAAGCCCUUUUGUUGGGAAAGAAAAGCAGCAGGUUAAUACCCCGCUGUUCUGACGGUACCCAAAGAAUAAGCACCGGCUAACUACGU
This 491-nucleotide ribosomal RNA is filed under the name uncultured bacterium. RNAcentral's name for it is "partial 16S ribosomal RNA". It matches the Rfam family "Bacterial small subunit ribosomal RNA", at positions 29 to 506 of the family's 1533-position model. The record is from RNAcentral.